RNAcentral lists this ribosomal RNA (497 nucleotides) under uncultured bacterium. Its description in RNAcentral is "partial 16S ribosomal RNA". It matches the Rfam family "Bacterial small subunit ribosomal RNA", at positions 28 to 507 of the family's 1533-position model. The record is from RNAcentral.
GAUGAACGCUGGCGGCGUGCCUAAUGCAUGCAAGUCGAGCGAACAGACGAGGAGCUUGCUCCUCUGACGUUAGCGGCGGACGGGUGAGUAACACGUGGAUAACCUACCUAUAAGACUGGGAUAACUUCGGGAAACCGGAGCUAAUACCGGAUAACAUGUUGAACCGCAUGGUUCAACAGUGAAAGACGGUCUUGCUGUCACUUAUAGAUGGAUCCGCGCCGCAUUAGCUAGUUGGUAAGGUAACGGCUUACCAAGGCAACGAUGCGUAGCCGACCUGAGAGAGGGAUCGGCCACACUGGAACUGAGACACGGUCCAGACUACUACGGGAGGCAGCAGUAGGGAAUCUUCCGCAAUGGGCGAAAGCCUGACGGAGCAACGCCGCGUGAGUGAAGAAGGUCUUCGGAUCGUAAAACUCUGUUAUUAGUGAAGAACAAAUGUGUAAGUAACUAUGCACGUCUUGACGGUACCUAAUCAGAAAGCCACGGCUAACUACGUG